AAAAGCACAGGCUAGAGUUUUGAUCGCCUCUGCUCAAAUAUCAAUUCUGCAGAAGAUCUACCCUGGCUGAAACAGACCCCGAAUAAAUCAACCCAAACAUUUUGAAAUCCUUCUUGAGAAUAUCAAGUAGGUACUAAUACAAGGGGCCUCAUUUUUCUUCGCACUUUAUAUUCUUUCCCUCAUGAGAGAGACCGUGAAGCAAAGUGCACACUUGAUAGGCCGAGGCUGCAAAAGCCAAAGAGCCCCAACUUGUCGACCCAGCCACAACGAACGGUGAAGAAGAGUUGAAGCCCGAGUCAUCAGCAGUGGUGCCGGAAAAGCCCGAGGACAAGGAGGAUGCACCAACAAAUGAAGUAGCAAAAGAGAGCAAAGAAGAGGAGAAGAGAUCUCAAGUUGUGGAUCACCCUUUGGCUGCCGCCUCUGAGGGUUCAAAGACUAGCUGAGCUUCAUCAAGGAACAAGAGAUACGUGAUAAUCCGCCAUUCAAUUGGAGCAAACAAGGAUGAACUCUUGUAUUCUAUACUUCUUCUUUUUAAUGGAUCAAAUGGAGUUUUUUCCUUCUCCUUCAUUGUGCAAAUUCUGAUAUAUAGGUGACGAGUUUCCGACACUUUGCAGGGCAAAACUACAUGAUAAACACUAGAUUAAAU
Molecule: long non-coding RNA, 646 nt
Filed under: Ananas comosus (pineapple)
Lineage: Eukaryota; Viridiplantae; Streptophyta; Magnoliopsida; Poales; Bromeliaceae
Description: long non-coding RNA (ACOM_LNC043802)
Source: RNAcentral